Non-coding RNA from Bombyx mori (domestic silkworm), 84 nucleotides. Lineage: Eukaryota; Metazoa; Arthropoda; Insecta; Lepidoptera; Bombycidae. The record is from Rfam.
UUAAAUCAAAUUUGUAUGGAGUUGGAACAUUCGCCUGCGUUUGCCGCUAGGGGCGAUUUUCCAACUGCAUAUAAAAUUGGACUA